GACGAACGCUGGCGGCGUGCUUAACACAUGCAAGUCGAGCGGUAAGGCCCUUUCGGGGGUACACGAGCGGCGAACGGGUGAGUAACACGUGGGUGACCUGCCCUCAGCUCUGGGAUAAGCCUGGGAAACCGGGUCUAAUACCGGAUAUGACUCCAUGACGCAUGUUGUGGGGUGGAAAGCCUUGUGCGGCUGAGGAUGGGCCCGCGGCCUAUCAGCUUGUUGGUGGGGUGAUGGCCUACCAAGGCGACGACGGGUAGCCGGCCUGAGAGGGCGACCGGCCACACUGGGACUGAGACACGGCCCAGACUCCUACGGGAGGCAGCAGUGGGGAAUCUUGCGCAAUGGGCGAAAGCCCUGACGCAGCGACGCCGCGUGAGGGAUGACGGCCU
This 389-nucleotide ribosomal RNA is filed under the name uncultured bacterium. Its description in RNAcentral is "bacterial SSU rRNA". It matches the Rfam family "Bacterial small subunit ribosomal RNA", at positions 28 to 417 of the family's 1533-position model. The record is from RNAcentral.